RNAcentral lists this ribosomal RNA (664 nucleotides) under uncultured bacterium. Its description in RNAcentral is "bacterial SSU rRNA". It matches the Rfam family "Bacterial small subunit ribosomal RNA", at positions 58 to 729 of the family's 1533-position model. The record is from RNAcentral.
CGAAGCACAGAUGUAGAAUUUCUUCGGAAAGGAAGCGCCUGUGACUGAGUGGCGGACGGGUGAGUAACGCGUGGGCAACCUGCCCCAUACCGGGGGACAACAGCUGGAAACGGCUGCUAAUACCGCAUACGUUUUCGGUGCCGCAUGGCGCCGAAAAGAAAACUCCGGUGGUAUGGGAUGGGCCCGCGUCUGAUUAGCUAGUUGGGAGGGUAACGGCCUACCAAGGCGACGAUCAGUAGCCGGCCUGAGAGGGCGACCGGCCACAUUGGGACUGAGACACGGCCCAGACUCCUGCGGGAGGCAGCAGUGGGGAAUAUUGCACAAUGGGGGAAACCCUGAUGCAGCGACGCCGCGUGAGCGAAGAAGUACCUCGGUAUGUAAAGCUCUAUCAGCAGGGAAGAAAGUGACAGUACCUGACUAAGAAGCCCCGGCUAACUACGUGCCAGCAGCCGCGGUAAUACGUAGGGGGCAAGCGUUAUCCGGAUUCACUGGGCGUAAAGGGAGCGUAGGCGGCGCGGCAAGUCUGAUGUGAAAGCCCGGGGCUCAACCCCGGGUCUGCAUUGGAAACUGUCGAGCUAGAGUGUCGGAGGGGUAAGCGGAAUUCCUAGUGUAGCGGUGAAAUGCGUAGUUUUUAGAAGGAACACCAGUGGCGAAGGCCGCUUAC